CCCACCGCGCGCGGGGGCGGGCGGCGGGCGCUGCGGGGGCCCUCUGGCCCACCCCUCCCCGGCCACCUCCCGCGCCCCCUCUCACCGCAUGAGCAGCGAUCCCGCGGUCUAGCCCUUCAUCCCGGUGCUGCAGUCCCACGGCCACCCUCGCUGGAGGUGGUUCCGUGCGGAGCGUCCCACAGAUGUGGAUUUCCUCUCCGUCCUGGUGGGGUUCGGCGCCUAACUGGAACCAUGUGGCUCGGUGUUAGCAUGGACUCUGAACUCUGUGCUAGCUCUACGGGCAAUACAUCCAGGCAAAACAAGAGCCCAAGGAAAAGGAAGCUGCCUCUUUCUCUGCAUCUCUCCAAAGAGUGAAGAUGUCUUUCCCAGAAGACCCCCAACAGAUUUCCUCGGGACACGGGUUCGAGCCCUGGUCUGGGAAGAUCCUACAUGCCGCGGAGCAACUGGGCCCGUGAGCCACAAUUACUGAGCCUGCGCGUCUGGAGCCUGCGCGUCUGGAGCCUGUGCUCCGUAACGAGAGAGGCCGCGAUAGUGAGAGGCCCGCGCACCGCGAUGAAGAGUGGCCCCCGCUUGCCACAACUAGAGAAAGCCCUCGCACGGAAACGAAGACCCAACACAGCCAUAAAUAAAUAAAUAAAGCAAACUGUCAACAAGUAAAAAUAAAUAAACACUAUUUUAAAAAAAAAAGAAAAUAGAGCUGUAAUCAGACAAAGAAAUUUUUCUGGUUUUU
Globicephala melas (long-finned pilot whale) is the source of this 730-nucleotide long non-coding RNA. RefSeq lists it as uncharacterized. Lineage: Eukaryota; Metazoa; Chordata; Mammalia; Artiodactyla; Delphinidae. The record is from RefSeq and is a predicted model, not a curated record.